RNAcentral lists this long non-coding RNA (377 nucleotides) under Macaca nemestrina (pig-tailed macaque). Its description in RNAcentral is "lncRNA (ENSMNEG00000045671.1)". The record is from RNAcentral. Lineage: Eukaryota; Metazoa; Chordata; Mammalia; Primates; Cercopithecidae.
AGAUUAUUGUGUUGGGAUCUUCACAUUUGAUGGAUUUCACCACAUGGUGAGAAAGACUGAUCAGAAUCGUUACAAACCAAUGUGAUAAUGGUCAAGCAGAGAAAAUGACACUUGGGCAAAUUGGGGCCUUUGUCCUCCUGUUCUAGGAGCACAAAACUAACCUCCCAUCACUCCUCACUACCUUGCUGAACCCCAAGCCAGGCACCAGAACAUUUAGAUGCUCAUUAUCAUCAAUAUAUUUGUCAAAUCAGUCAGAAGAAAUUAUCAACCUCAGGCAGACAAAGUCAAAAUUGUCUCCUCUGUGCUUUUUCCAAAUCACCCACCACAAAACCCAGGUAUCUUUUAUUGUAUUGCUAAACUAAGAUGCAAGAGAAGCA